AUAAUGUGGGAAGUCAUCCCUAAUCACCACGUACAUGUACCUGAUUUUGUGUAAAUGUGUUAAUAACUCAGAUACUGGUGCACUUCCAGCUGGCAAACACGAAUGAGCUGUCAGGAAGACUGGAUUAUUUCUGAGGCUAUAAAAUCAAAGGCAGCCAUCAUUCACACUAGCUUGUGUACUCGAAACAAUAGCUGUUACGUUCAAAGCCUGUAGAAACUAGAAACAGAGGUUGUACAUCAUUCUAUCAGUGACUGGCAGGCAGUGUGUCAGUAAGCAUUUUUCACUGCUUCAGACUAGAUGUGUCACAAUAAUGUAUGAGAAAGGAAAGACCCCUAAAGAAAAUUAAAGAUAUCAAUCAGGAA
This is a long non-coding RNA of Hyla sarda, 362 nucleotides long. RefSeq lists it as uncharacterized. The record is from RefSeq and is a predicted model, not a curated record. The transcript has 3 exons. Lineage: Eukaryota; Metazoa; Chordata; Amphibia; Anura; Hylidae.